This 576-nucleotide ribosomal RNA is filed under the name Rhodotorula glutinis. Its description in RNAcentral is "eukaryotic LSU rRNA". It matches the Rfam family "Eukaryotic large subunit ribosomal RNA", at positions 49 to 639 of the family's 3401-position model. The record is from RNAcentral. Lineage: Eukaryota; Fungi; Basidiomycota; Microbotryomycetes; Sporidiobolales; Sporidiobolaceae.
AGCGGAGGAAAAGAAACUAACAAGGAUUCCCCUAGUAGCGGCGAGCGAAGCGGGAAGAGCUCAAAUUUAUAAUCUGGCACCUUCGGUGUCCGAGUUGUAAUCUCUAGAAGUGUUUUCCGCGUUGGACCGCACACAAGUCUGUUGGAAUACAGCGGCAUAGUGGUGAAACCCCCGUAUAUGGUGCGGACGCCCAGCGCUUUGUGAUACACUUUCAAUGAGUCGAGUUGUUUGGGAAUGCAGCUCAAAUUGGGUGGUAAAUUCCAUCUAAAGCUAAAUAUUGGCGAGAGACCGAUAGCGAACAAGUACCGUGAGGGAAAGAUGAAAAGCACUUUGGAAAGAGAGUUAACAGUACGUGAAAUUGUUGGAAGGGAAACGCUUGAAGUCAGACUUGCUUGCCGGAGCUUGCUUCGGUUUGCAGGCCAGCAUCAGUUUUCCGGGGUGGAUAAUAACGGUUUGAAGGUAGCAGUCUCGGCUGUGUUAUAGCUUUCCGUUGGAUACAUCCUGGGGGACUGAGGAACGCAGCGUGCUUUUUGCGAAAGACUCGUCUUUUUCACGCUUAGGAUGCGGUGAAUGGCU